UGGGGAAUUUUGGACAAUGGGCGAAAGCCUGAUCCAGCAAUGCCGCGUGUGUGAAGAAGGCCUUCGGGUUGUAAAGCACUUUUGUCCGGAAAGAAAUCCUUGGCUCUAAUACAGUCGGGGGAUGACGGUACCGGAAGAAUAAGCACCGGCUAACUACGUGCCAGCAGCCGCGGUAAUACGUAGGGUGCAAGCGUUAAUCGGAAUUACUGGGCGUAAAGCGUGCGCAGGCGGUUUGCUAAGACCGAUGUGAAAUCCCCGGGCUCAACCUGGGAACUGCAUUGGUGACUGGCAGGCUAGAGUAUGGCAGAGGGGGGUAGAAUUCCACGUGUAGCAGUGAAAUGCGUAGAGAUGUGGAGGAAUACCGAUGGCGAAGGCAGCCCCCUGGGCCAAUACUGACGCUCAUGCACGAAAGCGUGGGGGAGCAAACAGGAUUAGAUACCCUGGUAGUCCACGCCCUAAACGAUGUCAACUAGUUGUUGGGGAUUCAUUUCCUUAGGUAACGUAGCUAACGCGUGAAGUUGACCGCCUGGGGAGUACGGUCGCAAGAUUAAAACUCAAAGGAAUUG
RNAcentral lists this ribosomal RNA (566 nucleotides) under uncultured bacterium. RNAcentral's name for it is "partial 16S ribosomal RNA". It matches the Rfam family "Bacterial small subunit ribosomal RNA", at positions 355 to 912 of the family's 1533-position model. The record is from RNAcentral.